Molecule: ribosomal RNA, 1125 nt
Filed under: Triticum aestivum (bread wheat)
Lineage: Eukaryota; Viridiplantae; Streptophyta; Magnoliopsida; Poales; Poaceae
Description: partial small subunit ribosomal RNA
Source: RNAcentral
AUGGGAGUUCUAGCAAACAGGCAUAUUGCAACUUCAGGCCAAUGUCCGGUGUGCCAGAUUCAGGUUGAGGACGUGGCUCAUGCACUAUUCGCAUGUAGCAGAGCACAGGAGGUUUGGAGAUCACUCGGGCUAUAUGAAAUCAUUGCACGUGCAUCCAUUCCUCACCGAUCAGGGGCAGAGAUCCUUGAGAGUUUACUCUGCGAACCAACUAAUCAGGUGCAGUACUUGGGCGUGAUCCAAUUACCAGAGAUAAUUGCUGCCCCCAGUUGGUAUUUGUGGUGGCAGCGGCGCCAACUGUCGAAGAACGAAGAAGUCCAGACACCCGAGCGAACAGGCCCGGCAAUUCACGCACUUACACUGAACUUUGUCCGAGCAAAUGUAAAGCCUAACCCUGCUGCACGCGUGAACAGAUGGAGAAAACCAUUGCUAGGCCAAGUAAUUUUGAAUGUCGAUGCAUCCUUUUCUGAUGAGGAUCAUACAGGUUCAUGUGGUGCCGUUAUCAGGGAUCACCUGGGGGCGUUCGUAGGUGCUUCUACCGCUAAACUGGAACAUGCAGCAGAUAUUGAAUCAGCGGAAGCAGCGGCUCUAGUAGAGGGACUGAAAUUAGCUGCAACUCUUGGCAUUAAUUCGCUCCUGGUGUAGAUGGACAAUUUAACCGUGGUGGAAUCUCUAAACACAAACUCUGGUCAUUCUAUGGUAGCUGGCCCUUUACUUGAUAUUUGUCGUAGCCUUAUGGAAGAUUUCGGGAAGGUUUUAAUCGAGCAUUGUAAUAGGGAAUCUAAUAUGGUAGCGCAUGUGCUAGCCCAACAGGGCCGUGUUGAUCCUCCUAAUCUGUGGUUGGACACACCCCCUAGUUUUAUUGCUAUAUUAUUUGAAUUAAUAAAGCUAGUCAUGAAAGUCUUCCCGUCAAAAAAAAAAACAAUGCUGCUCUUCUCACGUACACACACAUCACGCACACCCUCAACACACAUAGGCGCUCAGCCAUGGCCGGCUGUAGUAGCAACGGCAACAGAAGCACGAGCAGUGGUAGGAGCUAAGCAGAAGCAGCAAGCAACACAGCAGCGGCGGCAUAGCAGCGGCAAGGCAGCAGAACAGCAACGUGGCAAGAGCAGCCGUGAGCAGUAG